RNAcentral lists this small nuclear RNA (96 nucleotides) under Microtus ochrogaster (prairie vole). Lineage: Eukaryota; Metazoa; Chordata; Mammalia; Rodentia; Cricetidae. The record is from RNAcentral.
GCUCACUUGUGAGCCCAGACUAGAACUGGACGAGACAGAGAUUAGUAUGGUCCCUGUGCAAGGAUGAAGCAAAUUUGUAAAGCGCCCCAUAUUUAA